This 403-nucleotide ribosomal RNA is filed under the name bacterium. RNAcentral describes it as "partial 16S ribosomal RNA". It matches the Rfam family "Bacterial small subunit ribosomal RNA", at positions 355 to 776 of the family's 1533-position model. The record is from RNAcentral.
UGGGGAAUCUUGCACAAUGGGGGAAACCCUGAUGCAGCGACGCCGCGUGAGCGAUGAAGGUUUUCGAAUCGUAAAGCUCUGUCCUAUGGGAAGAUAAUGACGGUACCAUAGGAGGAAGCCCCGGCUAACUACGUGCCAGCAGCCGCGGUAAUACGUAGGGGGCGAGCGUUGUCCGGAAUUACUGGGCGUAAAGGGUUCGCAGGCGGCAUGACAAGUCCGAUGGAAAAGGCGAAAGCUCAACUUUCGUAAGCAUCGGAAACUGACAAGCUUGAGUGAAGGAGACGCAAGUGGAAUUCCUAGUGUAGCGGUGGAAUGCGUAGAUGUUAGGAGGAAUACCGGUGGCGAAGGCGACUUGCUGGACUUCAACUGACGCUGAGGAACGAAAGCGUGAGUAGCAAACAGG